RNAcentral lists this ribosomal RNA (468 nucleotides) under uncultured bacterium. Its description in RNAcentral is "partial 16S ribosomal RNA". It matches the Rfam family "Bacterial small subunit ribosomal RNA", at positions 28 to 507 of the family's 1533-position model. The record is from RNAcentral.
GACGAACGCUGGCGGCGUGCUUAACACAUGCAAGUCGAACGGAAAGGCCCUGCUUUUGUGGGGUGCUCGAGUGGCGAACGGGUGAGUAACACGUGAGUAACCUGCCCUUGACUUUGGGAUAACUUCAGGAAACUGGGGCUAAUACCGGAUAGGAGCUCCUGCUGCAUGGUGGGGGUUGGAAAGUUUCGGCGGUUGGGGAUGGACUCGCGGCUUAUCAGCUUGUUGGUGGGGUAGUGGCUUACCAAGGCUUUGACGGGUAGCCGGCCUGGGAGGGUGACCGGCCACAUUGGGACUGAGAUACGGCCCAGACUCCUACGGGAGGCAGCAGUGGGGAAUAUUGCACAAUGGGCGGAAGCCUGAUGCAGCAACGCCGCGUGCGGGAUGACGGCCUUCGGGUUGUAAACCGCGUUCGCCUGUGACGAAGCGUGAGUGACGGUAAUGGGUAAAGAAGCACCGGCUAACUACGUG